UCGAGAAUCUUCGGCAAUGAGCGCAAGCUUGACCGAGCGACGCCGCGUGCGGGAUGAAGGCCUUCGGGUUGUAAACCGCUGUCGUAGGGGAGGAAGGCUCCGUGAAGAACGGGGUUUGACCUAUCCUAGGAGGAAGGACGGGCUAAGUUCGUGCCAGCAGCCGCGGUAAUACGAACCGUCCAAACGUUAUUCGGAAUUACUGGGCUUAAAGGGUAUGUAGGCGGCGCUGUUAGUCGGGUGUGAAAGCCCUCGGCUCAACCGAGGAAUUGCGCCCGAUACUGCAGUGCUUGAGGGAGACAGAGGUAAGCGGAACUGAUGGUGGAGCGGUGAAAUGCGUUGAUAUCAUCAGGAACACCGGUGGCGAAAGCGGCUUACUGGGUCUCUUCUGACGCUGAGAUACGAAAGACGUAGGGGAGGCGAAGGGGAUUAGAUACCCCGUAGUCCUAGCUGUAACGUUGAG
This 460-nucleotide ribosomal RNA is filed under the name uncultured Planctomycetota bacterium. Its description in RNAcentral is "bacterial SSU rRNA". It matches the Rfam family "Bacterial small subunit ribosomal RNA", at positions 355 to 813 of the family's 1533-position model. Lineage: Bacteria; Pseudomonadati; Planctomycetota. The record is from RNAcentral.